Molecule: ribosomal RNA, 639 nt
Filed under: uncultured Actinomycetes bacterium
Lineage: Bacteria; Bacillati; Actinomycetota; Actinomycetes
Description: bacterial SSU rRNA
Rfam family: Bacterial small subunit ribosomal RNA
Source: RNAcentral
CGCGGCCUAUCAGCUUGUUGGUGAGGUAACGGCUCACCAAGGCAUCGACGGGUAGCUGGUCUGAGAGGACGAUCAGCCACACUGGGACUGAGACACGGCCCAGACUCCUACGGGAGGCAGCAGUAGGGAAUCUUGCGCAAUGGGCGAAAGCCUGACGCAGCAACGCCGCGUGGGGGAUGAAUGCCUUCGGGUUGUAAACCCCUUUCAGCAGGGACGAAAAUGACGGUACCUGCAGAAGAAGCUCCGGCCAACUACGUGCCAGCAGCCGCGGUAAUACGUAGGGAGCGAGCGUUGUCCGGAAUUAUUGGGCGUAAAGAGCUCGUAGGCGGUUCAGUAAGUCGGGUGUGAAAACUCAAGGCUCAACCUUGAGACGCCACUCGAUACUGCUGUGACUUGAGUCCGGUAGAGGAGUGUGGAAUUCCUGGUGUAGCGGUGAAAUGCGCAGAUAUCAGGAGGAACACCAGCGGCGAAGGCGGCACUCUGGGCCGGUACUGACGCUGAGGAGCGAAAGCAUGGGGAGCAAACAGGAUUAGAUACCCUGGUAGUCCAUGCCGUAAACGUUGGGCGCUAGGUAUGGGAUCAUAUCAACGGAUUCCGUGCCGUAGCUAACGCAUUAAGUGCCCCGCCUGGGGAGUACGG